UACGGAGGGUGCAAACGUUGCUCGGAAUCAUUGGGCGUAAAGCGCACGUAGGCGGCUCGUUAAGUCGGAUGUGAAAGCCCUGGGCUCAACCCAGGAAGUGCAUACGAAACUGGCGAGCUUGAGUAUGGAAGAGGGUCGCGGAAUUCCCGGUGUAGAGGUGAAAUUCGUAGAUAUCGGGAGGAACACCAGUGGCGAAGGCGGUUCUCUGGGACGGUACUGACGCUGAGACGCGAAAGCGUGGGGAGCGAACAGG
Molecule: ribosomal RNA, 253 nt
Filed under: uncultured bacterium
Lineage: Bacteria
Description: partial 16S ribosomal RNA
Rfam family: Bacterial small subunit ribosomal RNA
Source: RNAcentral